CAGCAGCCGCGGUAAUACGUAGGUGGCAAGCGUUGUCCGGAAUUAUUGGGCGUAAAGGGCUCGCAGGCGGUUUCUUAAGUCUGAUGUGAAAGCCCCCGGCUCAACCGGGGAGGGUCAUUGGAAACUGGGAAACUUGAGUGCAGAAGAGAAGAGUGGAAUUCCACGUGUAGCGGUGAAAUGCGUAGAGAUGUGGAGGAACACCAGUGGCGAAGGCGACUCUCUGGUCUGUAACUGACGCUGAGGAGCGAAAGCGUGGGGAGCGAACAGGAUUAGAUACCCGCGUAGUCCCUGUCUCUUAUAC
RNAcentral lists this ribosomal RNA (301 nucleotides) under uncultured bacterium. RNAcentral describes it as "partial 16S ribosomal RNA". It matches the Rfam family "Bacterial small subunit ribosomal RNA", at positions 509 to 807 of the family's 1533-position model. The record is from RNAcentral.